This 422-nucleotide ribosomal RNA is filed under the name uncultured prokaryote. Its description in RNAcentral is "bacterial SSU rRNA". It matches the Rfam family "Bacterial small subunit ribosomal RNA", at positions 355 to 774 of the family's 1533-position model. The record is from RNAcentral.
UGAGGAAUAUUGGUCAAUGGGCGGAAGCCUGAACCAGCCAUGCCGCGUGCAGGACGACGGCCCUACGGGUUGUAAACUGCUUUUCCGGGGGAAGAAUAAGGCCCACGCGUGGGUCGAUGCCGGUACCCCGGGAAUAAGGAUCGGCUAACUCCGUGCCAGCAGCCGCGGUAAUACGGAGGAUCCGAGCGUUAUCCGGAUUUACUGGGUUUAAAGGGUGCGUAGGCGGGCCCCUCAGUCAGCGGUGAAAGUCUGCGGCUCAACCGUAGGAUUGCCGUUGAUACUGGGGGCCUUGGAUUCGGUCGAGGCGGGCGGAAUGCGUGGUGUAGCGGUGAAAUGCUUAGAUAUCACGCAGAACGCCGAUUGCGAAGGCAGCUCGCCGGGCCGAAAUCGACGCUGAGGCACGAAAGCGUGGGGAUCGAACA